RNAcentral lists this unclassified non-coding RNA (379 nucleotides) under uncultured Bacteriovoracaceae bacterium. Its description in RNAcentral is "contains 16S-23S intergenic spacer region". The record is from RNAcentral. Lineage: Bacteria; Pseudomonadati; Bdellovibrionota; Bacteriovoracia; Bacteriovoracales; Bacteriovoracaceae.
UCCUGGUUAACCCAGGCAGUCUCGUCAGAGUGCCCAACUUAAUGCUGGCAACAGACGAUAGGGGUUGCGCUCGUUGCGAGACUUAACCCAACAUUUCACAACACGAGCUGACGACAGCCAUGCAGCACCUCUCACUACAUUUCCUUGCGGACACUCCGUCGAUUAAAACGGAUUCGUAGGAGUUCAAGCCUAGGUAAGGUUCUGCGCGUUGCUUCGAAUUAAACCACAUAAUCCACCGCUUGUGCGGGCCCCCGUCAAUUUGUUUGAGUUUUAGUCUUGCGACCGUACUCCCCAGGCGGAGCACUUAAUGCGUUAGCUGCGUCACUGAGGGAGUCAAUACCCCCAAUAACUAGUGCUCAUCGUUUACGGCGUGGACUAC